CUUCGUUUUGUCGUCUGAAAACUGGGGGAAGAGUAUCUCCCUCAAGGGAGGGCCGGAUGAGCUGAAGAGCACCGGAUGCAAGUGCAUAGUCGGGUUCAGCAGGUUUCUUUCUUUGCCUGUGCCUCCCAGAUGAUGGAGAGUGUGGGCAUGUGUUGGGAGAUGGGACAUAGGGAUGGUGGGGACAGCUCUCAGAUGGUGAAAUGGGGCUUCUGUGAACACCAGUCCACAUCCCCAUUCUGCCCAAGGAUAAUCUGUUGCUUCUUCCCCUCCCUCCUACCCAUCAUGAAGCCCCUCAUCUGCCCACCCAUCUGUCCAUCCAUCCACCCAACUAUCCACCUACCCAUCCAUCCGUCCAUCCAUCCAUCCAUUCACCCACCUACCCAUCCACCCAUUCAUUUGUCCAUCUGUCCAUUCGUCCACCUACCCAUCCAUUCAUUCAUCUGUCCAUCCAUCCAUCUACCCAUCCAUCCAUCCAUCCUUCCAAGACAGCUCUCUGCCCCUCCAAGCUCUGCACAGAAGUCUCCAGAAGCCACAGCAUUGACCAGUAGUUGUGAGCUGAGAUGCCUUCAGGGGCCAGGCAGGUACGUUCCAGCAGAGCAAGGUGAAAAAGAGCUGAAAUUGGCAUCAGAAGCCCAGAGUUCUGGUUCCAGCUCCGACCACUCAUUCAGUGUGUGACCUCAGGCAGGUCACCAGCCUGAGCUGUGCCUUCAUUUCAUCUGUCAGACGGAUGACUCUGCCCCUCAGAGCUUGCAGACGGCAAGGUGAUAAGGAACAAUAUGGACUUCUUGCAGCUCCGGGAGGCAGACGCUGGAGGGCUGGUGACCUGAUCCCACAAAGCCCCGGAGGUGCUGUGGACCAACUUGCAACACAAGACGCUAGGAGGGAGGACGGCUGUUGGCAUCUGUUGACCACAAACACGUUUGCUGUGCACACUUGUGCACAUGGGUGAGCUCCGUGGGUCCAGACAUGUACAGGGCAGGUGAAUGCAUUGAGUACCAUGGGCAUUAUCCCAGGCCCACAGGCACGUGCAGUCACACACACACGUGGACAUGCCACUGCGCACCUAAGAGACACACACACACACACACACAUGCAUAUGCACACACACACAUAUGCACACACACACAGACACUGUAAACAUCAGGCUCAAAGGCCCAUCCAGGAGACCAAAGGCUGCAGGUGUCUUCACAUCACAGCCCAGGUGACCUUGUCUCUGGCUCAGGGCCCAGUGGCCUGGCCAGCUCUGGACAUCCAGUCAGCCUCACUAGCUGGCCUGGGGUCCAGGGCUCGAAAGUGGCGGAGGAAUGACCACCCACUGGCGGAGGUAGCUCCGGGGGGGUCCUUCAUCCCCGGGGCUGGUGAAGUCACACUCCACAGGGCUGCUGCAGUCAGAGCCCACAAAGCCACUGUCAAACGUGUCCAUAUCCAGGCCGGCCAGGGGUGAGCCCGCCUCACUCUCUGAGACCCCUCCAGGUGACCGGCCACCCCAGGGCAGUCCCCCAGCCCAGUCCUCCCCAUCUGCAAGGGGUGGCUUUAGUCUGUCCAGGAGGCUUCCCAGGGGCCCUCCCAGCCCAGGGCUGCCAGCUGAGACACAGCCACAGGAGAGGACUGUGGUCCCUGCACCCAAGAGUGGGUCCUCUAGGCCUGGGCUGGGCUCCAGGCCAGCAUCCAGGUCCAGGGCUGGGUAGCCGUCAUCCUCACAGCUGCAGGGCCAGGUGCAUGGCCCCUCUGCAUCUAGCACAGUCACUGUGUCAAUGGACACCAGGCCGUAUGGCCGGUCCCUCUCCUCACUGUAAGCUGAGCCCCCCAAGUUCUGGGCUGUCGGCCAGAAGCUGGGCUUGGGCACACCGUCAGACUCCACCAGCUCUGCUGGUUCUUGUAGCUCCGUGAGCUGCAGCCUCUUGGCCGGGCUCCGUGGUGGGUGGCAGCUGUACACCUCCAGGGUGGAGGGCACCUCUGGGCUCCAGGGUCCCAGCUCCAGGCUAGAGCCAGUGAAGGGUGCACCCACCCAUUUCUGUGAGAGAGAAAAAGAGAGAGUCAUAGCACAGGAUGAGGGUAAGGUGAGGGUUUAUUUUUCUUUUACUUUUAUUCUUUUGAGACAGUCUGGCUCUGCUGCCCAGGCUGGAAUGCAGUGGUGCCAUCUCGGUUCACUGCAACCUCUGCCUCCCAGGAUCAAGUGAUUCUCCUGCCUCAGCCUCCCAAGUAGCUGGGACUGCAGGCGCCUGUCACCACACCCGGCUAAUUUUUGUAUUUUUAGUAGAGACGUGGUUUCACCAUGUUGGCCAGACUGAUCUUGAACUCCUGACGUCAGGUGAUCCACCCGCCUCAGCCUCCCAAAGUGUUGGGAUUACAGGCGUGAGUCACUGUGCCCAGCCAAGGUGAGGGUUUAAACAGACAGAAAGGCAGACACAGACACAGAGACAAGACAAAGAGACAUCAAGAGAGACAGACAGAGACAUGAAGAUAGACAAAAGACACCGAGAGACAGAGAGAGAGAGAGGAAUCAGGACCACAAUGUGCUCCCACCCUAGUGGAUCCCCCUCCUACUCUGGGCCUCAGUUUCCCUACUUGUAGAAGGGAGUUGCUACCCUUAGUAGUGUGACCAGUCAGACAACUGGUGGCCCCAUAGUCCAGGCAGGGACCAAGAUUCCUGAGUCAAGGAGACAUGGGGGCAGGAGGGCCUGAGGUCUGAGGUACCCCUGAGCCAUCUCCUGCUUUCCCGCCUCCUUGAUGCUUCUUGAAACCUAGCACUCUCCUGGUUUAUGUGUCCCCACCAGACAGACACUUGGCCCCUGGACAUAAGUCUUGUCUCUUCUGUCCAUGGCUGUAGCCCCAGUGCCUAGCACAAAG
Molecule: long non-coding RNA, 2850 nt
Filed under: Pan troglodytes (chimpanzee)
Lineage: Eukaryota; Metazoa; Chordata; Mammalia; Primates; Hominidae
Description: long non-coding RNA NONPTRT006262
Source: RNAcentral